Molecule: ribosomal RNA, 253 nt
Filed under: uncultured bacterium
Lineage: Bacteria
Description: partial 16S ribosomal RNA
Rfam family: Bacterial small subunit ribosomal RNA
Source: RNAcentral
UACGUAGGGUGCGAGCGUUGUCCGGAUUUAUUGGGCGUAAAGAGCUUGUAGGCGGCUCGUCGCGUCGGGUGUGAAAACUUGCGGCUUAACCGCAAGCCUGCACCCGAUACGGGCGGGCUAGAGUUCGGCAGGGGAGACUGGAAUUCCUGGUGUAGCGGUGGAAUGCGCAGAUAUCAGGAGGAACACCCGUGGCGAAGGCGGUUCUCUGGGACGGUACUGACGCUGAGACGCGAAAGCGUGGGGAGCGAACAGG